UUGGGAUCCGUGCCGUAGCUAACGCAUUAAGUACCCCGCCUGGGGAGUACGGCCGCAAGGCUAAAACUCAAAGAAAUUGACGGGGGCCCGCACAAGCGCCGGAGCAUGUGGAUUAAUUCGAUGCAACGCGAAGAACCUUACCUGGGUUUGACAUGCACAGGACGACGGCAGAGAUGUCGUUUCCCUUGUGGCCUGUGUGCAGGUGGUGCAUGGCUGUCGUCAGCUCGUGUCGUGAGAUGUUGGGUUAAGUCCCGCAACGAGCGCAACCCUUGUCUCAUGUUGCCAGCACGUAAUGGUGGGGACUCGUGAGAGUCUGCCGGGGUCAACUCGGAGGAAGGUGGGGAUGACGUCAAGUCAUCAUGCCCCUUAUGUCCAGGGCUUCACACAUGCUACAAUGGCCGGUACAAAGGGCUGCGAAGCCGCGAGGUGGAGCGAAUCCUUUAAAGCCGGUCUCAGUUCGGAUCGGGGUCUGCAACUCGACCCCGUGAAGUUGGAGUCGCUAGUAAUCGCAGAUCAGCAACGCUGCGGUGAAUACGUUCCCGGGCCUUGUACACACCGCCCGUCACGUCAUGAAAGUCGGUAACACCCGAAGCCGGUGGCCUAACCCGUAAGGGAGGGAGCCGUCG
Molecule: ribosomal RNA, 626 nt
Filed under: uncultured Actinomycetes bacterium
Lineage: Bacteria; Bacillati; Actinomycetota; Actinomycetes
Description: bacterial SSU rRNA
Rfam family: Bacterial small subunit ribosomal RNA
Source: RNAcentral